UACGGAGGGUGCAAGCGUUAAUCGGAAUUACUGGGCGUAAAGCGCACGCAGGCGGUUUGUUAAGUCAGAUGUGAAAUCCCCGGGCUCAACCUGGGAACUGCAUCUGAUACUGGCAAGCUUGAGUCUCGUAGAGGGGGGUAGAAUUCCAGGUGUAGCGGUGAAAUGCGUAGAGAUCUGGAGGAAUACCGGUGGCGAAGGCGGCCCCCUGGACGAAGACUGACGCUCAGGUGCGAAAGCGUGGGGAGCAAACAGGAUUAGAUACCCUGGUAGUCCACGCCGUAAACGAUGUCGACUUGGAGGUUGUGCCCUUGGGAGGCGUGGCUUCCGGAGCUAACGCGUUAAGUCGACCGCCUGGGGAGUACGGCCGCAAGGUUAAAACUC
RNAcentral lists this ribosomal RNA (381 nucleotides) under uncultured Escherichia sp. Its description in RNAcentral is "bacterial SSU rRNA". It matches the Rfam family "Bacterial small subunit ribosomal RNA", at positions 524 to 902 of the family's 1533-position model. The record is from RNAcentral. Lineage: Bacteria; Pseudomonadati; Pseudomonadota; Gammaproteobacteria; Enterobacterales; Enterobacteriaceae.